UACGUAGGGGGCUAGCGUUGUCCGGAUUUAUUGGGCGUAAAGAGCGUGUAGGCGGCUUUACAGGUCCGUUGUGAAAACUCGAGGCUCAACCUCGAGACGCCGGUGGAAACCGUAAGGCUAGAGUCCGGAAGAGGAGAGUGGAAUUCCUGGUGUAGCGGUGAAAUGCGCAGAUAUCAGGAGGAACACCCGUGGCGAAGGCGACUUCCUGGCCUGUUCUUGACGCUGAGGCGCGAAAGCUAGGGGAGCAAACGGG
RNAcentral lists this ribosomal RNA (253 nucleotides) under uncultured bacterium. Its description in RNAcentral is "partial 16S ribosomal RNA". It matches the Rfam family "Bacterial small subunit ribosomal RNA", at positions 524 to 776 of the family's 1533-position model. The record is from RNAcentral.